AAUCUACUCCCUUCGUCCGAAAUUACUUGUCAUAGAAAUGAAUGUAUCUAGAUGUAUUUUAGUUUUACAUUCAUCCAUUUUUGUUCAUUUUGGCGACAAAUAAUUCUGAACGGAGGAAGUAUUUC
Molecule: non-coding RNA, 125 nt
Organism: Hordeum vulgare subsp. vulgare (domesticated barley)
Lineage: Eukaryota; Viridiplantae; Streptophyta; Magnoliopsida; Poales; Poaceae
Source: Rfam